Molecule: transfer RNA, 73 nt
Organism: Orenia sp.
Lineage: Bacteria; Bacillati; Bacillota; Clostridia; Halanaerobiales; Halobacteroidaceae
Rfam family: tRNA
About the family: Transfer RNA (tRNA) molecules are approximately 80 nucleotides in length. Their secondary structure includes four short double-helical elements and three loops (D, anti-codon, and T loops).
Source: Rfam
GCCCCCAUCGUCUAGUGGCCUAGGAUACUGGGUUUUCAUCCCAGCGACAGGGGUUCGAAUCCCCUUGGGGGUA